RNAcentral lists this long non-coding RNA (1436 nucleotides) under Helianthus annuus (common sunflower). Its description in RNAcentral is "hypothetical non coding rna". Lineage: Eukaryota; Viridiplantae; Streptophyta; Magnoliopsida; Asterales; Asteraceae. The record is from RNAcentral.
GCUCUUCCCAAUCUUUUUCGUUACCCGCUCUGCUAUCAUUUUUCUAAUUAAAUAAGGAUAAAGCCCUUUCCCAUUUUAAGUAUUUUAACCCUUGAUCACUGAUACCCUGUUCGACUGACGUAGGGCUCCGUAACGUAUGUCAAGGCUCUGCCUAAAUUCGUUGGGGUUCUGUCUCGUGACGUAGGGAUAAAGUGGAAUUGGGUUACUAUACUUAAUAUGAGUGCACUAUAUAUUUUAUUAAAUAACCUAGGAGUGAUACCCAAAAUAUAACAACCCUCCUAAAACACCCCUGACACCCCUACACUUCCUAAAAUACAUCCCAUAUGUGAAAACCGAGCUGAAAUACAAUAUAGCAUUAACAAUAAGUGAAAAACAAGAAAAUAUAAGUUUAGGCGGGCCGCGUAAAGAUCCUCGAUUAGUUGACGCGGGCCGCGAGAGGUUCAAAAGGUGGCGCAGCCCGGUGCGGCCACGUGGCCCAACACCUGGCAAACCUAGUCAAUGACUCAGCAUAGCUACGCGUUGACCCAGCUUUGACGCGGGCCGCGUAAGCUUUGUGCUUAUAUUACGCGGGCCGCGAGAGACCCAGGUUCAGGCACUAUAUAAAGGAGGCAUCGGCUGUCCAUUUCAAUUCGUUCACAAUUCAUUCUCACUCUCAAAAUUCUGAAUUAGAGUUAUUAUACACGGGUAUAAUACCCCCCCUAAUUAGCAAAGCUCUGCCUCGUUGUAAGUAUCAUAACCCCUGGAUACGUAUUAGAUACUCUGCCCGAUUGAUCUAGGGUUCCGUAACGGCUGUCGUGGUUCUGCCCGACGUAGUCGUUGGAAUGCCGUCUCGGGGAGGAUUAUAACCAGGAAGUUACAAAGGAAAGUCCUAUAAUAGCAAUGUGAGUUAAUCUUCUUUUUAUGAACUCAUUUUUGUGAGUUGAUUCACUUUUUGUAAACCUUUUUGUUUACUGUUUUUACAAAACCUCACUUAAUUAAAUAUAUACAAAGCAGUUAUUGAGUAUUUGUAAAGAAUACAAUUAUAGUGGGUAUGUUGGGGUUUUGUAUACAAAAUUGGUUACUGGCGUGGUAACAUCCCAUAAGUUGAGUAUGACCGUACCACUGAUGUUAAUUGUGAGGUCUUGGAUACAAAUGUAAUUGCGGAUGUGCCCUCAAUACUGCAAAUUGGUUUUUAUUUAACUUGAUUAAACUGGGAUUCACUCACCAGUAUUUCCUGCUGAUAAAAUGUUUUAAACAUGUGUUUCAGGUAACUUAGUGUAAAGCCAAUAAAAGCCAGCUGGAGAGCACUGAAGGCUUGGAAAAGUGGCAAUAAAGUUACCUAAAAUAAAAUAGAUGUUUUUAUUAAACAAAAUAGGAUUUAUUCCUAUGAAGAUGUGUGUACUACAAAACUUGGGUUUUACCCAUGUGUUUAAUAUUAUAAAAUGUGGUGGUUUACU